GAUGGAUAGGGGUUCUGAGAGGAAGGUCCCCCACAUUGGAACUGAGACACGGUCCAAACUCCUACGGGAGGCAGCAGUGAGGAAUAUUGGUCAAUGGACGAGAGUCUGAACCAGCCAAGUAGCGUGAAGGAUGACUGCCCUAUGGGUUGUAAACUUCUUUUAUACGGGAAUAAAGUUAGCCACGUGUGGCUUUUUGUAUGUACCGUAUGAAUAAGGAUCGGCUAACUCCGUGCCAGCAGCCGCGGUAAUACGGAGGAUCCGAGCGUUAUCCGGAUUUAUUGGGUUUAAAGGGAGCGUAGGCGGGUUGUUAAGUCAGUUGUGAAGUUUGCGGCUCAACCGUAAAAUUGCAGUUGAUACUGGCGACCUUGAGUGCAACAGAGGUAGGCGGAAUUCGUGGUGUAUGCGGUGAAAUGCUUAGAUAU
Molecule: ribosomal RNA, 422 nt
Filed under: uncultured Bacteroidales bacterium
Lineage: Bacteria; Pseudomonadati; Bacteroidota; Bacteroidia; Bacteroidales
Description: bacterial SSU rRNA
Rfam family: Bacterial small subunit ribosomal RNA
Source: RNAcentral